CUUAGUAACGGCGAGUGAAGCGGUAAAAGCUCAAAUUUGAAAUCUGGUACUUUCAGUGCCCGAGUUGUAAUUUGUAGAAUUUGUCUUUGAUUAGGUCCUUGUCUAUGUUCCUUGGAACAGGACGUCAUAGAGGGUGAGAAUCCCGUUUGGCGAGGAUACCUUUUCUCUGUAAGACUUUUUCGAAGAGUCGAGUUGUUUGGGAAUGCAGCUCAAAGUGGGUGGUAAAUUCCAUCUAAAGCUAAAUAUUGGCGAGAGACCGAUAGCGAACAAGUACAGUGAUGGAAAGAUGAAAAGAACUUUGAAAAGAGAGUGAAAAAGUACGUGAAAUUGUUGAAAGGGAAGGGCAUUUGAUCAGACAUGGUGUUUUUUGCAUGCACUCGCCUCUCGUGGGCUUGGGCCUCUCAAAAAUUUCACUGGGCCAACAUCAAUUCUGGCAGCAGGAUAAAUCAUUAAGAAUGUAGCUACUUCGGUAGUGUUAUAGCUUUUUGGAAUACUGUUAGCCGGGAUUGAGGACUGCGCUUCGGCAAGGAUGUUGGCAUAAUGGUUAAAUGCCGCCCGUCUUGGAAACACGGA
Molecule: ribosomal RNA, 573 nt
Filed under: Hanseniaspora uvarum
Lineage: Eukaryota; Fungi; Ascomycota; Saccharomycetes; Saccharomycodales; Saccharomycodaceae
Description: LSU rRNA
Rfam family: Eukaryotic large subunit ribosomal RNA
Source: RNAcentral